Long non-coding RNA from Apis cerana (Asiatic honeybee), 3649 nucleotides. RefSeq lists it as uncharacterized. The record is from RefSeq and is a predicted model, not a curated record. NCBI's taxonomy places the organism in Eukaryota, Metazoa, Arthropoda, Insecta, Hymenoptera, Apidae.
AGUAAUCGGCUUUCUUUCGAUCGGCACACACCAUGAAUCGUCUAAGCCGCUUAUGAUUAAUGCCACGUCGAUUCAGUUUGCAAUAAAUUUCGAUACGAUCGAUACAAAGUGCAAUGCUUCGUUGCGUAUUCCGAGAGUUGGAUCUAUCCUUUGAGAAAUAACGAUGCGUUCUCAGAUAAUUAGGAUUAAAUCAUACGAUUCUCCACCCUUUUUUUGUGAAAAUCAGUUUACAAAAUAUUGUGACGUAAUCACGUUUUUAGAUAAAAAAAGAGAUUCUCGUAAUAAAAUAAUUUCAUUUGUUCUGCAGGCAUUUUUAUUCUCGAUCAAUUUUGAGAUAAUGAAAUGCGAAAGAAUUAUCGGAUGGUGAAGUUUUAAAAGAUUGAAAAUCGUUCGCAUAUGCUCGAUUCUUCGAAAGAAUCGUUUCACCUGAUUUCUGAUGCAAUAUUAAAACGCGAUGUGGAAAUCUGAAGUCAGGAGAUUAACUUAACUUACCGAGAUUACCGGCGCCGAAUGAUGAGCAAUGAAAAAGAUCGUAAGAAGAUUAAAUAACCUCGAGAAUGUUACAAUAUAAUAUUUUUGAAUAUCUUAUAUCGUGCAUUCUGUACACGUUCCUCUUAAAACAAGUCUAAAUUUCUCAGAAACCGAUGAAUAAAGGAUUGGAAGGAGGAUGAUCUCUAGUCACGCCUAGAAAAGUAAGCCGAUAUGUGCGAACAAUCUGAUUUCUUGACAUCGUCGUAUAAUAAAUGCCUCGGCAAAUAUACGACAAGCAUAUUGAUUCACAACUGCAGCCAAGAUUCACAAAAUCAGCAAGAUAAAUUAUUACCGAAAGAUGGUAUCGCAGAGGAAGAUUCCAUCAGCGUGAAAUCGGUAGACACGUCCCCUCGCGAAUGAAAAAGGAAUUAAUGAAAACCGAUGGAAUGUGGGCGCGCAUGCGCGCCUCACUCGCAUGGUGGCGAUCGAAAAGCACGUCGGGAAAUAGGAGAAUUCUAUUAUUAGAGUUUAAUGCGCGGAUAUUAUGCGGUAACCCUGUCGAGAAGGCAUCCAUCGAGAGUGUCCAGCCUCGAUCCUUAUAAAUAAUUCAAUGUGGCGUCGCGUGUGCACGCGUGCGCCCGCCACGGCGGACAUCUUUUAUAGUUUCGAAGUGGAAAGAAAAAAGGAACGCGAUGCCGAGGGGAAAUAAAAACACGAAGUCGCGGCCUCGUCAGUCGGCCAAGGCUGCGACUGGUGCAUGUGUGGGCGGAUGCACGAAGAACUCGAUCGUUCGAGGCGAUGCGAUCGAUCGAUCGAUCGGUCGAUCGUGUCCGUUCCCGCGAUUUUCGAACGUUUCGUGAUCGUCGAACGAUCGAUCCACGUCCGGUCGAUCAUUCCGCUCGAUUCGUUCGAGUGUGCGACGUACAAGGUGCACGUGCACUUCGAUUCAACGCGCAUCAUCGAUGGGACGGCGGUAUUACUCAACUGCGUACCGUGUAGAAAAUCUCGGCGCCAUGUUGAUGGUUCUUGUCAGCGGAUGUUAUUGUCGAAUUGGAUUUCCAUUGUAAUUUUUAGUAGCAAAAAUAGAAACGAGAGUAAGGAAAUCUUUAUUACAGAUUUCGUUGAUUUUUAAUUUGUGUGAAAGAAAUAUUAUGGAAUGUUGUAUGGUUCGAUUUGAUCUCGAAUCGAUGGGUCAAGGCUGUUAUUCCGAAACGUAGGCGGACCAUGUCGACGGAAAAUCUGCUAAAUCGACCGUUUUUAUGAUAUAGCCGGCGGCUAAUUCGAUUUGCAUAAUAUCGACGAUUUAAAAUCAACGGAUUGCUGUUUCAUCGAGAUAUAGUUAUUUAACAUACGGGUAUUGAUUUGUUACUUUGUAUGUGAUUAUGAUAUUUUUCGCUCGAACUUCGUAGAAGUAUUUUUUAUUGAUUAAGUCGUAGACUAUAGUGUUAUAAUAUAAUUUAAUCGGUAAUUGGAAAAAUUUUAAAAUACGAUUCUUGCAGAACGAAAUUCAAAACAUCCAACACGAGUAAUCAAAUUUAAUUUUUCUUCUAAAUUAUUCUACAUGAUUACAAUAUAAUAUGCAUUAAUAAAUGAAAAUUUCCAUCAUUACAAAAUUGAAAAAUGCAAAAUGUGCAAUAUAUUAUAUUCUAAAUAAGAAAUUUCUGAAAUAGGAUUUUGAAUAAUGGAUUUUUUGAUGACUAAAGGAGACUAUAAAGGAUAUUAAAAUAUCAAGUAGGAGUCAAGGAGUGGAGGCGUCAAGGACAUUUCAAGAUCAGUUAUGUUUCUACAAAUAGUACUUAAUGCACAAAGUCUUGAGUUUACUUCGGAUCUAGUCAGAUAUUAUAUAAUAAUCAUAAAACAUCACUUUGACUUUGAAAUGCUUUUCAAGUCUCCAUCUAUUUAUUUUUCUCUUUUGAAUUUUAAUAUAGUUAUAUUUUAAUAUAGUUAUGUUAGAAUUAACAAAAAUUAAAGUUUAAAGAAAAAACGCCUUAAAAUAUUAAAGAGAAAUAAGAGAAUAUUAAGAGAAUAUUGGAGAAAGCAUUAAAAGAUAUUUCACAAGAAAUUUUGCAUACAUGGCACAAAAUACAUAUUACUAAAUAUCAAAUAUCAUUUAACAAGACACAAACUUUUAAAUAUAUCUAACACACCUGCCAUUUAAUAUUCUAUAUAACAUCUUUUAUAAUCUUUAUUACAUGAAUCUCCAUAUGUUACGAUAUUAACAAUGAAAUGAAAACAUUCCAGGAAACGAAUAGAAUAUAAUUGCUUUCGAUUACAUUGAAUUCUCUCUUGCUGCUCGACCAUUUACCGAAGACACAUUAAUAAGACAAUUAACUCUCUAAAAAAAGAAGAAGAAAAAAUAGCCUUCGAGAGUUUUGCAAAACAAAAAAAUCUAACUUAUAAAAAACUAUCAAACUGCCAACGAAAGAAAUGUCACUAUGCAUAUUUCUUGGACAUCGAUUCGUGAAGAAGCCCGUCAUUAAACAGCAAGGUUGAAAAGCAAAGCGUGAACGAAACUUGAUACGUUCGUGCUAUGAUAAUAUCAUCGAAUUGAUCGAAAACUUUGUGCUAACGGAUAUAAAUAAAAUUAAUGAGAUUAUGCUUUCGAAACAUGGACUGGCGCUCAGACACGGUUAAUUGACGAUCCCAAUUCUAAAAUCAAUAUGAAGAAUAAUAUAUACGCAUGUUUCGUUAAUGGAGUCGCGAUCUUGAUAAAGACCACACGAAAGUUCGAUUAUGCGACUGAAAUGAAACGAGGAACGCGCCUUAUCCCUGGCCAAUAAACGCGAAACGCCCUGAUAAGCCGCGAUACGGCGAACGACACCGAUAGUUCUUGAGUAAAGGUGAAAGGAAACUGGAUUUAAGCAUAUACGGAAUGAAACCGGUUUCAAUACUUUCCGAACCCCGUAAAGGAAACAUUUUCCUGUGUGCUCGAAUGGAAAAUCAACAUGGAAUCCGCGUGAUUCCAACAUAUGGCGAAUCUCUAGUGAUAAGAUGAAAUUACGAAAAAUAUAUGAUGAGAAUUGUUGAAAUAUUUAAUCGAAAAAUAAAAAUUAAACAUAUUUCAAAAUUUUAAUAAUCAUCAUGUUAUUUAUAUCAAGUUAAUUACUUUUAGUAAUGUUAAAAUGGAUUAACUGUUGUAAAGAAUAUACUUCUAACAAUAAAUAAGUUAAAGAUUUUA